Molecule: ribosomal RNA, 426 nt
Filed under: uncultured bacterium
Lineage: Bacteria
Description: partial 16S ribosomal RNA
Rfam family: Bacterial small subunit ribosomal RNA
Source: RNAcentral
GUGAGGAAUUUUCCGCAAUGGGCGAAAGCCUGACGGAGCAAUGCCGCGUGAAGGAUGAAGGCCUAUGGGUUGUAAACUUCUUUUCUCAGAAAAGAAUUAUGACGGUAUCUGAGGAAUAAGCAUCGGCUAACUCUGUGCCAGCAGCCGCGGUAAGACAGAGGAUGCAAGCGUUAUCCGGAAUGCUUGGGCGUAAAGCGUCUGUAGGUUGUUUAAAAAGUAUUCUGUCAAAGAUUAGGGCUUAACCCUAGAUAGGCAGAAUAAACUUUUAAGCUAGAGUUUGGUAGAUGCAGAGGGAAUUCCCGGUGGAGCGGUGAAAUGCGUAGAUAGCGGGAGGAACACCAAAGGCGAAGGCACUCUGCUGGGCCAAUACUAACACUGAGGGACGAAAGCGAGGGGAGCCAAUGCGAUUAGAAACCCCUGUAGUCC